AGAGUUUGAUCAUGGCUCAGGAUUAACGCUAGCGGCAGGCCUAAUACAUGCAAGUUGUACGGGAUUAUUGGUAGCAAUACUGAUAUGAGAGUAGCGCACGGGUGCGUAACACGUAUGCAACCUACCUUUAACUGGGGAAUAGCUCACCGAAAGGUGAAUUAACACCGCAUAAAAUCACAGAAGGACAUCCUUUAAUGAUUAAAUCUCCGGAGGUUAAAGAUGGGCAUGCGUCCGAUUAGCUAGUUGGCGGGGUAAUAGCCCACCAAGGCAACGAUCGGUAGGGGGUCUGAGAGGAUGAUCCCCCACACUGGUACUGAGACACGGACCAGACUCCUACGGGAGGCAGCAGUAAGGAAUAUUGGACAAUGGGGGCAACCCUGAUCCAGCCAUGCCGCGUGAAGGAUGAAGGCCCUAUGGGUCGUAAACUUCUUUUACAGGGGACAAAUAUCCGCUUCGUGAAGCGGAUUGAUGGUACUCUGAGAAUAAGGGUCGGCUAACUUCGUGCCAGCAGCCGCGGUAAUACGAAGGACCCGAGCGUUAUCCGGAUUUAUUGGGUUUAAAGGGUGCGUAGGCGGAUUUACAAGUCAGUGGUGAAAUCUCCCAGCUUAACUGGGAAACUGCCAUUGAAACUGUUUAUCUUGAGUACAUUUGAGGCGGGCGGAAUGUGUCAUGUAGAGGUGAAAUUCUUAGAUAUGACACAGAACACCAAUUGCGAAGGCAGCUCGCUAAACUGUAACUGACGCUGAGGCACGAAAGCGUGGGGAUCAAACAGGAUUAGAUACCCUAGUAGUCC
Molecule: ribosomal RNA, 793 nt
Filed under: uncultured bacterium
Lineage: Bacteria
Description: bacterial SSU rRNA
Rfam family: Bacterial small subunit ribosomal RNA
Source: RNAcentral